This 73-nucleotide transfer RNA is filed under the name Homo sapiens (human). RNAcentral describes it as "tRNA-Glu (TTC) (tRNA-Glu-TTC-8-1, tRX-Glu-NNN-2-1)". It matches the Rfam family "tRNA". From Rfam's summary of the family: Transfer RNA (tRNA) molecules are approximately 80 nucleotides in length. Their secondary structure includes four short double-helical elements and three loops (D, anti-codon, and T loops). The record is from Rfam by way of RNAcentral. Lineage: Eukaryota; Metazoa; Chordata; Mammalia; Primates; Hominidae.
UCCCUGGUGGUCUAGUGGCUAGGAUUCGGCGCUUUCACCGCCUGCAGCUCGAGUUCGAUUCCUGGUCAGGGAA